GUGGGGAAUAUUGGGCAAUGGGGGAAACCCUGACCCAGCGACGCCGCGUGAGGGAAGAAGGCCUUAGGGUCGUAAACCUCUGUUGUGUGGGAAGAAGAGCGUGACGGUACCACACGAGGAAGUCCCGGCUAACUACGUGCCAGCAGCCGCGGUAAUACGUAGGGGACGAGCGUUGUCCGGAUUUACUGGGCGUAAAGGGCGCGUAGGCGGUCAUUUAAGUCAGCUGUGAAAUGGUUUGGCUUAACCGGAUCAUGCGGUUGAAACUGGAUGACUGGAGUGCUGGAUAUGCAAGUGGAAUUCCCAGUGUAGCGGUGAAAUGCGUAGAUAUUGGGAAGAACACCGGUGGCGAAGGCGACUUGCUGGCCAGCAACUGACGCUGAGGCGCGAAAGCCAGGGGAGCAAACGGGAUUAGAUACCCUAGUAGUCC
Molecule: ribosomal RNA, 427 nt
Filed under: uncultured bacterium
Lineage: Bacteria
Description: partial 16S ribosomal RNA
Rfam family: Bacterial small subunit ribosomal RNA
Source: RNAcentral